Notolabrus celidotus (New Zealand spotty) is the source of this 4354-nucleotide long non-coding RNA. RefSeq lists it as uncharacterized. The record is from RefSeq and is a predicted model, not a curated record. Lineage: Eukaryota; Metazoa; Chordata; Actinopteri; Labriformes; Labridae. The transcript is spliced from 2 exons.
UGUUCACUUAUCUUCAGUAUUUGAAAUGUUUUCCCUCACUUUAGUUCUUUCCAAUUAUGACGACACAUUUCUUAAGUUUCUGUAUGUUUUGAGGUUGUAACACUAUGGAAGAGGAUUAAUUAUGGUCCGGUAUAAAUUAUGUAUGUUUCUGUCCUGAGAAGAAGUCAGAAUUCUGAGAUUUAAGUCAGAACUCUGACUUAAUAAAUUAACAAAAAUAAUUCUUCAGUAGGUUAAAGCCAGAAUUCGUUUUUUUUUUUCAGAACAGAAACGUGAAAAAAAUAUAUUGGACCUUAAUUUUUUUUUUCAGUGUCCCUUAUCCUCUUCCGUAGAAAAACCAUAUUACUUUUGUUAUAAAAAAAAAAACUUGGAGUGGGAAUUUAUGUAACAGAUUUAUUUCCCCCAUUAUUACACCAAAUAGAUUUAAAACAAAGCUGGGUGACGGGGGUUAUUCCGUUAUACAUUUUUGUUAAUUUAUGUAGGAUACGUGUAAGAACAUAAUUCGGGUCAUACAUCAGUACUUCUAUUGAUAUGAAGUAUAGUUUUACUGGAGUUCACCUGGACAUAUUUGUGGCACUCUUUGUAUUUGUGUUGCUGUACUUCUCCGUGUCUCCGCCAGGUGGCAGUGUUGUGGCGGCCCGUGGAGGUGUGGAGCCGGUGUAAGUGCGCAGCGCCCGGACUCUCUCUCCCCCGAAGCACCGCUGCAGAUCGAUCACAACGUGAAGUGUCGAUCCACUGAAGUCAGUCCAGUCCAGACCUCUGAUUCCCUCCCUGCCGAGGAGCCCCGCGCACCGCUGACCGACAUAGUGGCAAGAGAAGAGGCAGACUGAUUCCUCAGCAGUCUGGGAUUUUUUAUUGUUCUCGGAGAUUAUUUAGAAAUCCGGUGCUGAGCUCUUCAUCCUACAUUAAAAAACAAGCAAGCAGAAAUAGAAAAGGCAACCAGUUUCAAGUUCAGAUCUCUGGAUGCUUUUUGAGGUGAGGGCAGAGGAACAGGCGCGUCACCACAUGAUGUCCGGAUUAUUGUUUACUUGAACGACCUUGGAUUAUUCUUCUGUCGCCGGAUUCUGUUUUUUUUUGUUUGAAUGGAGAAGAACCUGAAGCGUGUUCCAAUCUCACAUAAAACAAAAGAAGAAAGGUUGAGAAAGGACUGUUUCAACACUGCCAGACCCACGUAGGAAUGGACCUCAAAGUUGGUACCCCCUCAUUGCCCUCUGAAUCAGCACCCCUGAUUUCCUAACACUGAUAAUCACAUAUAUUGUCCCCCAGAGAUGGAUGAAAGCGGGAGUGGAUGACAGGAAGGCUUGUAGAGAGAACUCAAGAAGCAUAGAGUUGCUUUUGGGAUGAAUGAACAGUGACGUCUAAAUUCAAACUCCAACCAAAGACUCUUGCUACCACCCCAAAUCUGCCCCUGUAGAUCAAAUCAAUGCAACAUCCUCCAGAGUAUGGGGUGUGUUAAAUCUAAAAGGAGUGACUCUGCAGCCCAAAAUGCGAACUCUACGGACAAAUUCGAAGGCAAGUCCAAGAGAUCGAAGGGCGAGAAAGCGUACUUGGUGCACUCAGAGAUGGACUCACCGGAGAACUCGCCAAAGGUCAACCCGGUGCUGCUGGAGUACGCGCACCGGCUAUCUGAGGAGAUCGUGGCCCGUGCUGUGCAGCAGUGGGUGGAGAUAGACCGUCGCUACAGUGACAUCCCUUACAUUGAGUGUGAUGUGCCAUGACAUGGGAGGUGGGGGUGAUGAAGAGGAAAAGGACGGGGACAGGUUGAGAUGGCCUUGAUCUUGACCCUUGAGCUUCAACAUGUGAUUAAACAAGGCCUUCAUUCAGGGGAGAUCCUUUGAGCAUUUACCUGCUGAGAGCUGGAAUAUGAAUGAGCUGUCACUAAUUCAGUGAUGACCUACUUCAGGACUGGAUUAUACUUGGAUUGAGCCUACAAACCCUCCAGUGCAACCAAAGCACUCUGAUCCGGGUCUCGGUUCUGUGAUUAUCUGCAUCAGAGCCGGAGCACGCCAAAGCAGACUGUCAUGGAUCAGAUAUCAUGUUUCUCAGACCUUAUUUGUCCCAUCUCCCCGCAGGUGUCAGCUCUCCUGUGAGAAAUCAAACAUUCCUUACUGCCAGUGAAAGUCUACCCUGUCCAGUGAUGCAGCAGCACCGCCAAGAUUCGCUCCUCUUACGGAGGAAGUUAUUAAUAGUUCUCUCCAAAACCCUCCCUGUUUCAUCAGAACAGAAACACGCCCAGCUGUUUGGCUCCUUCUGGUCUGACAAAUGGCCUGAAGUUCUCCCUUAAUGGCCUCCCUGGAGAUGCUGCAGCUGAGCUGCGAUGAGGAGCAUCUUCCUCUGUCUGUUUGUCCCUCACGCAAUUAGGCAGCCUCGCCAUUGCACUCAGCGAGGACACAAGGAUUCAUGCGCACAAAUCAUGCAUUUCCUGCACUCUAAGAUAUUCUGUGUACACAAGACGCAGUUUGGGAACUUCGACAUGAGGACACGGAUCACAGGGGACUCGACGUCUCUCAACCUCAAAAAGUAAACCAGGCAUGAGAACCGUGACACACUUUCUUAAAAUAACUCGUCAGCAGAUCAGGAGCUUAAAAAACAGACGCACACGCAACUUUGUCGAAAUCAUCAGAGUUUUUUGUCAUUGUACGACGCAGAAACGAGGAAUGCUGCAGAUACUCUACCCUGCAGAGGAAAAAAGCACAAAUAUGCAAACCUUUAAAACCCAUGGCUUUAACUCAGUGUGUGUUUGAUUUCUUAAAACAGCCACAGAGGGCAAAGAUUCAUACAGAGGGACUUCCUUAAUGAAUAUCACAACAGUCCAGAACAGAUUGGCUGUACAGUCCACACAGCGUGAUUAAUAACAGGUUUGUUUGCAGGUCUGCUCUGGUCAGAUGAAGGGUUUAUGUUCCAAAGUCCAAAUACUUUAACCAAUGUCAUUGUGACUGAACCCAACAUUUAAAGGGAUAGUUUGUUUAUUUUGAAGUGUAGUUGUAUGAGGUACUUGUAAACACAAGUGUUUUGUUCCCCAGAGGAUCCCGGUCAGCUGGGUCACAUUGUUGAGAAACCAGGUGGAGAACCAGCAAAGCAGCUAGGCUAUCAACCUCUGCAGACCAGGUCACGUGAUUUAUUUAAGAGCCACUUUGUCCUUGCACGAUUCAGGGAUGCAAUGUAUAGGUUUUCCUUUUCCUGCAGUGCACUGAUCAGCUGAUCAUGAUAUACGAGCCACUGAUACUUUGUGAAUUUGGACAUUUUUGAAUCUCAGUUUUAGAUCAUUUUUGAGUGAUGCAGACUGCAGCUGUUUGUGAGCAGGCUCAUUCAGAAAGGUCCUGAAGUGCUGUUGUUACCAAGUCCCACUUCAUGGGCUCACAGUUUACACACCUGCUUCACCAGGUAACUCAGGAUCUCUCCUGAUCUACAGAGAGCACAAGCUUCUCCCCUCUUCCCUUCAGUCUGUUGAGUCUCGCUCUUCCUCUGUAAACCUAUAUAAACUAUUCAUAAAGGUAUCCCACAGACCCAAACAGCUUAUCAAUGCGCUGCAGGAUAAAUAGAGUGUACACUUAAAACAAUUUUAGUGUUAGAACUCCAUAAAAUCAGCUAAAUAGGUAGACAGCCUAGCCUCUGUUCAGUUCUGUAGCUGGUUUCUCAAUACAGGAGCUGAGCUGACCGGCAUCCUCUGGAGAGGAGUAUCUCAUACAACCCCACCCCUAAAAACCCUUCCCUUUAAAUCACAAUAAUAGCCUUGCCACGUUUAUAACUUGUAAUAAUAUUGAUCAUAAGGAUAGUUUAAAGCCAUAUUGAACUGUGGGACACUUCUGCCCACUUGCCUUCUCCUUUAACAGUAACAGUGUUUUAAUACCGACAUAAAACUGCCCAGUUACAGUGAAACACAGAUGAUCUGUAGGAGAUAUUGUAACAGGAAGCUCGAUGAAUACAUUUCAUUUUCCCGGCUGUUGGACUGCCCAUCUGUCUGAAGAGCAGCGUCAUUGUUUAAGCAUUUAAAGUCUCUGUUUACAGGCUGCACUGUAAGGUGAUGAUUGAUCAAAGGGCUGCUGACUGAGAGAAACAUGAUGUGAGCUAAAAACUGCCCUGUCCAACACGUCACUCAAAACAAACAACAUAUAGUACUUGCACUAAUCUGUGUAGGCAGAUGAAUCUCUCGGGGUCUUUCCCCAAAACAUGUUGUGAUCACACUGGAGAUUAGAGAUGAUCUGUUCUGCACACGCCAUACUCCUAAAUCUUAAUCUGAUGCUGUUUGUUUCACUGCAGAUGUAACGAUACACAUCACUGCUGUGCUGAAAAUGGAUCUCUGUGAGCGCUGGGGUUUGAUCAAAUCAUGGAAAUAAAAAGUGCCGGUUUAUUGGAC